Long non-coding RNA from Erinaceus europaeus (western European hedgehog), 558 nucleotides. RefSeq lists it as uncharacterized. Lineage: Eukaryota; Metazoa; Chordata; Mammalia; Eulipotyphla; Erinaceidae. The transcript has 4 exons. The record is from RefSeq and is a predicted model, not a curated record.
GGGGGCCCCAAUUCCUGCCUCUCCUCCCAUGAGCACCUUGAAGGAACUUCAGGACCUCUGACUCCAAGUACAAGGUGUAGUCACCAUCCACUCCUAUUCCUUAUGGAGUCUCUCUCCUAGCCUGUAGCAGUGGUUUCAAAUACAAAACAUGUAUCCUCCUCUCUUCCUGGAUGGAUGUGGUUAUUCCUGGUGGGAAGAUCCCCAGUCUUCAAGUCUUCUCAACUAGCUCUUUGUGGAACAGAGCCACCAGGUUCCAGAUGCCAUCAUGAUGCCAACCAAACUUCUAGACAGACGACCUCACCAAUGUGUCCUGGAGCUCAGCUUCCCCAGAGCCCCACCCUACUAGGGAAAGAGAGAGGCAGGUUGGGAGUAUGGAUCGACCAGUCAACUCCAUGUUCAUCGGGGAAGCAAUUACAGAAGCCAGACCUUCCACCUUCUGCAUCCCACAACGACCUUGGGUCCAUACUCCCAGAUAGAUAAAGAAUAGGAAAGCUAUCGGGGAAGGGAUAGGAUAUGGAGAUCUGGUGGUGGGAAUUGUGCAGAGUUGUACCCCUCUUG